GGUUAGGUUAAAUUUGAUAAUGAUUGAUGUUGGACUAGGCUAUAUUAUGUUAAAUUAGGUUAGGUUAGGUAAUGGUUGACGCUGUACUAGGCCAUGUUAGGUUAAAUUUGAUAAUGAUUGAUGUUGGACUAGGCUAUAUUAUGUUAAAUUAGGUUAGGUAAUGGUUAACACUGGACUAGGCUAUGUUAGGUUACGUUUGGUUAAAUUUGAUAAUGGUUGAUGUUGGACUAGGCUAUGUUAGGUUAAAUUAGGUUAGGUAAUGGUUAACACUGGACUAGGCUAUGUUAGGUUACGUUUGGUUAAAUUUGAUAAUGGUUGAUGUUGGACUAGGCCAUGUUAUGUUAUGUUAGGUUAAAUUUGAUAAUGAUUGAUGUUGGACUAGGCUAUGUUAUGUUAAAUUAGGCUAGGUUAGGUAAUGAUUGACACUGAACUAGGCUAUGUUAGGUUAGGUUAGGUUACAUUUUAAGAUGAUGAUGUUGGACUGGGCUAUAUUAUGCUAAAUUAGGUUAGGUUAUGGUUGACACUGUACUAGGCUAUGUUAGGUUAGGUUAGGUUACAUUUUAAGAUGAUGAUGUUGGACUGGGCUAUAUUAUGCUAAAUUAGGUUAGGUUAUGGUUGACACUGUACUAGGCCAUGUUAGGUUAGGUUAUGUUUGGUGAUAACUGAUACGAGAGCAAGAGUUCCCAUCCAUUGUUUACUCAUUACUCCAUUUUCCACACCUCCCUUCACUCAUUACCCCUCACUGCUCAUGCUUCCGCAAUUAUAUUUUAGCACCCAUACUUUGAAACUUAUUAACCUAGUAGCAGCAGGGAUCAGGUUUCUUAAUGGUCCCUCUAAGUGAGAAAAAAGAGAAAAAAUCAUCACUCACACAAACCAUUUCAUAAUAUAUAUCAAAGCAUUUGUGAUCAUUUUAUGCAUCAUCUAUUUUGGGGGGUUUAUAUCAUGGCACAAAUUUGGCCCGUCGCUGCUACACGGUAAAGCCACAAAUUUGGCCUGUCGCUGCUACACUGUAAAGCCACAAAUUUGGCCUGUCGCUGCUACACGGUAAAGCCACAAAUUUGGCCCGUCGCUGCUGCUCUGCAAAGCCACAAAUUUGGCCUGUCACUGCUACACGGUAAAGCCACAAAUUUGGCCCGUCGCUGCCACACGUUAAAGCCACAAAUUUGGCCUGUCGCUGCUACACGGUAAAGCCACAAAUUUGGUCCGUCGCUGCUACACGGUAAAGCCACAAAUUUAGCCACUGCUACAUGGUAAAGCCACAAAUUUGGUCCGUCACUGCUACACUGUAAAGCCACAAAUUUGGCCUGUCGCUGCUACACUGUAAAGCCACAAAUUUGUCCCGUUGCUGCUACACGGUAAAGCCACAAAUUUGGCCCAUCGCUGCUACACGGUAAAGCCACAAAUUUGGCCUGUCGCUGCUACUGGGUUGAUAAAUUUGUAUGUGGUAGAUUAAGCAGAGGUAAAUAGCUCGAGUAAAAAAAGGACAAAAGGUCAUAUUCAGCCUGUUCUAAUUUAAUGGCUAAUGCAAUGGGUAUGAUUUUACUUUUUCUUUUUUGGGGAGUUAUUUCAUCACACGAAAGUCAUCACAGCCAAGAAUUAAUAAAGUUUUCCAAGUCACAGCAGAACAAACUCGCAACAUAAUUAAGAGUUUCAUAUAGUAGAAGUUAGAUAAACUCAUUGACGGGCCUGACACGUAGUAAAUCAGUAUUCCCGGGAGCUGCCGUGUGUUGUGUGACCGACCUUGUGUGUCAUUGUGCAAAAGCAAGAACUAUUUAAUGAAAACAAGGAGUCCGGAGGUAUUGCAUGCUGAAAUUAUUAAUGAAGUUUCUCAAUCCAGAGUUAUUGCAAGCAAGGAUUGGUGAAACUACCACUCAGUGUCAUUACAAGUAAGAUAGCCAGUGUCUGGAGAGAGAGAUAAAGAGGAGAGGAGAGAAGAGAAGAGGAGAGGAGAGAUGGUGUGCCCAGACUCCAGCAUCACAGUUUCAAUUAUUGGAGAUUAGAUAGACUUGUGGAUGGAAAUAACAUGUAGUAAAUGGCUAUUCUCAGGGGCUGCCAUGUGUGUUGCAAAACCAAAAA
This is a long non-coding RNA of Eriocheir sinensis (Chinese mitten crab), 2076 nucleotides long. RefSeq lists it as uncharacterized. The record is from RefSeq and is a predicted model, not a curated record. The transcript is spliced from 3 exons. NCBI's taxonomy places the organism in Eukaryota, Metazoa, Arthropoda, Malacostraca, Decapoda, Varunidae.